RNAcentral lists this ribosomal RNA (891 nucleotides) under Distoseptispora hyalina. RNAcentral describes it as "Distoseptispora sp. JY-2021d partial large subunit ribosomal RNA". It matches the Rfam family "Eukaryotic large subunit ribosomal RNA", at positions 34 to 952 of the family's 3401-position model. The record is from RNAcentral. Lineage: Eukaryota; Fungi; Ascomycota; Sordariomycetes; Distoseptisporaceae.
UUAAGCAUAUCAAUAAGCGGAGGAAAAGAAACCAACAGGGAUUGCCCUAGUAACGGCGAGUGAAGCGGCAACAGCUCAGAUUUGAAAUCUGGUCCAUUAGGGCCCGAGUUGUAAUCUGUAGAGGAUGCUUUUGGUGAGGUGCCUUCUAAGUCCCCUAGAACGGGGCGCCAUAGAGGGUGAGAGCCCCGUACAGUUGGACACCGAACCUCUGUAAAGCUCCUUCGACGAGUCGAGUAGUUUGGGAAUGCUGCUCAAAAUGGGAGGUAAAUUUCUUCUAAAGCUAAAUACCGGCCAGAGACCGAUAGCGCACAAGUAGAGUGAUCGAAAGAUGAAAAGCACUUUGAAAAGAGGGUUAAAUAGCACGUGAAAUUGUUGAAAGGGAAGCGCUUGUGACCAGACUUGCGCCCGGUGAAUCAUCCAGCGUUCUCGCUGGUGCACUUUGCCGGGCUCAGGCCAGCAUCGGUUCUUCCAGGGGGAUAAAAGCCUCGGGAACGUAGCUCCCUUCGGGGAGUGUUAUAGCCCGUGGGUACAAUACCUCUGGGGGGACCGAGGACCGCGCUCUGCAAGGAUGCUGGCGUAAUGGUCAUCAGCGACCCGUCUUGAAACACGGACCAAGGAGUCAAGCAUUAGGGCGAGUCUUUGGGUGUAAAACCCGCAGGCGCAAUGAAAGUGAACGGAGGUGAGAGCUUCGGCGCAUCAUCGACCGAUCCUGAUGUUCUCGGAUGGAUUUGAGUAAGAGCCUUACCGCUUGGACCCGAAAGAUGGUGAACUAUGCCUGAAUAGGGUGAAGCCAGAGGAAACUCUGGUGGAGGCUCGCAGCGGUUCUGACGUGCAAAUCGAUCGUCAAAUUUGGGCAUGGGGGCGAAAGACUAAUCGAACCAUCUAGUAGCU